ACGUGGGGCGUAAAAAGAAAAAGGAGGGAAAGAACAAUGCCCUUGGCCGAAUGGGAAUGGAAGGAGGAAAAAAAAGGUUAGUCCUUUUCAUGCAAAAUUUAGAGUUUUCAUAAAAAUUCCUCUCCCUUACAAAAGGGUCCUUGCCGUGGGAGGGAUAGGAGGUCUAAGCAAGGCAUUUUAUUAAUUUUGUCAUGGAAGAACAAGAGGGAAUUUGGUUUGGAGAAAAUAGCUAACGUCGACCCUAAUUCCUCGAAAAAGAAAGGAAAGACAAAAUCGUCGAUGAAUAUCUCGGAGUUUAUGGUUUGUGUUUCUAUAAUUUGAACUAACUUGUAAUUGUUGCAUAUUGAUUUUUUUAUGUAUGGUAAGAAUAUAAGGUGAGAUUCUUUGUUCAAUUGAGAUUAUUUGGACUGAUUUGAAUUGAUUGAUGAUCAUGAGAACUAAAUUGAAUAUACGUGAAAUAUGUGAAUGUUCAUAGAAAUAUGAAAUUGAAUAUAUGUUGAGAUAA
Molecule: long non-coding RNA, 505 nt
Organism: Gossypium arboreum
Lineage: Eukaryota; Viridiplantae; Streptophyta; Magnoliopsida; Malvales; Malvaceae
Exons: 2
Source: RefSeq, a predicted model, not a curated record